Xiphophorus maculatus (southern platyfish) is the source of this 1088-nucleotide long non-coding RNA. RefSeq lists it as uncharacterized. The transcript is spliced from 4 exons. The record is from RefSeq and is a predicted model, not a curated record. NCBI's taxonomy places the organism in Eukaryota, Metazoa, Chordata, Actinopteri, Cyprinodontiformes, Poeciliidae.
AGCUGACCUUUUUAUCUCUGGUUAUUGCCUCUCUCGAGAGCCGGAGCACCAAUAGAGCUACUUGGCAGCAGAUGUUUACUUUUAUUGUGGAAAUUUAUCACCGUACAGCCACAGUACUCUCUCUCUCUCUCUCUCUCUUUCUCUUUUCCACUCCACAUGCAGGAAGCCAGAGUCUCCUGCUUCUUAUCUGCUGCCUACAAGAGCAAAUGUACAGCAGAGAGUGACAGCAUGCCGGGCUCCACUGCUGGUAAUGCGCUCGCUUUAAUCAUCCUCGUGCAUGUACGACACGUCGGCUUUGAUGUUCCAUUACAACGGACAAGUUGGCGAAGGUUGGAGCGGAUCUAAAUUUAUUCGGUCCAUAGGAGUCGCAUUCUGCUCGCCUCUUCACUCACACUUGAGCAUAGAGCGAGUGGCCAUUCAUCAAAUGAAGAAAGAGGCCGGGAAGAUGAAUUUAUCAGUGGAAGCUAAAAUUUUGCUAAGUGGACAACAACAUCUCCACAAAGAGCUGCAGCUGACCGCACUCAGGACUUCUCUUCCUGAAUGGCUCGCUCUGAGAGAAGUGGAUGCAGAGGCAGGCGGCUGAUGACGGCGAACAGCAGGAGGAGCAGGGGCAGAGAUGAUGGAUGAAGCAACAGGCAGGGGAAUGCAGGACCUACAGCAACUCUACACACACACAACCUGCAGCGACAGGCUCCUGUUCCCUACAGAUCGGAGCGACGGAGCCGAGGAUGAGUCACCGUCCGGGCUGCUCCCGACUAUCACAACAGCACGGACAGAAAUCUCAACCUCCCAAAACCCAGAGGAGCCGCGUCAUGCGACACCGAACAGGUGGACUGUCGAAUGCAACACAAUUAGAGAGCAGUUUUAACAGCUCAGGGAGCCAAGAGACGAACAGACAGCGUACAGCUUCCCUCCAACUGGAUAGAAAAAUAACAUUUACAAAGAUCCAUUAAUCUGCUUAUUCUCUCAAUAAAACCGGGGCUUCACUGAAGCGACUGUACUGUGCAAGCUACACAAGGUCACUUAAAAACAACGUGCGUGUUGGACGGUCAUUAUUUCAGAACACAAAAAAACAAAAAAAAAAAAAA